UAUAGAGGGGGCAAGCGUUGUUCGGAAUUACUGGGCGUAAAGGGCGCGUAGGCGGCCCGCUAAGUCGAACGUGAAAUCCCCGAGCUCAACUCGGGAACUGCGUCCGAUACUGGCGGGCUUGAAUCCGGGAGAGGGAUGCGGAAUUCCAGGUGUAGCGGUGAAAUGCGUAGAUAUCUGGAGGAACACCGGUGGCGAAGGCGGCAUCCUGGACCGGCAUUGACGCUGAGGCGCGAAAGCUAGGGGAGCAAACGGG
This 253-nucleotide ribosomal RNA is filed under the name uncultured bacterium. Its description in RNAcentral is "partial 16S ribosomal RNA". It matches the Rfam family "Bacterial small subunit ribosomal RNA", at positions 524 to 776 of the family's 1533-position model. The record is from RNAcentral.